UGAGAUAUAGCUCAAUGGUAGAGCAACGGCUUCCAAACCCGUGUGUUACAGGUUCGAGUCCUGUUAUCUCAG
Non-coding RNA from Brochothrix thermosphacta, 72 nucleotides. The record is from Rfam. Lineage: Bacteria; Bacillati; Bacillota; Bacilli; Caryophanales; Listeriaceae.